This 23-nucleotide non-coding RNA is filed under the name Arabidopsis thaliana (thale cress). The record is from RNAcentral. Lineage: Eukaryota; Viridiplantae; Streptophyta; Magnoliopsida; Brassicales; Brassicaceae.
CGGUGCGGAUUAUGGAAUAUAUA